RNAcentral lists this long non-coding RNA (4163 nucleotides) under Amazona collaria (yellow-billed parrot). Its description in RNAcentral is "lncRNA (ENSACOG00000007577.1)". The record is from RNAcentral. Lineage: Eukaryota; Metazoa; Chordata; Aves; Psittaciformes; Psittacidae.
GGGCCGGGCCGGGCUGCGCCGCGCCGCGCCACGCCGCGACGAGAAGGACGGGACUGAACGGGAAGGUACAGAAUCGACCGCGCUGCCUUCCCCUUGGAAACGCGGCACAAGACGGCGCCCGCCAACCCACGCCCUCCUCGUCAAGCCACCGCCGUCUGAUUGGGCAUUAGCGGAGAUCUUCCCGCCUCCGAGCGCGAAAUGCCUGCCUAUUGGCUGAAGUGCUGCCGUUCAAGGAGGGGGGCGUGUUUCUCUGGGUGCCGCUACCCAGAGUGCCGUGCGGCGCGGGCGGAAGGAAAGCGUCUGGCGGAUCAUAGCGCUGGCUCUAGUGAGCCCAGCGCAUGGCCGCUGGGUUCCGUGAGCGCCGCCUCCGCUCGGUCCUCCCCAGCCUGCGUUUGCCGUGCCUGUGGCGGACGAGCUCCUCGCGUCCUCAUGGUUGGAAACGCACUGCUGCGUACAUCUGCAUCAAACUGCGUGGAGGAGGCUCAGGAGAACCAUACAGAGUCUUCCAGUGCCUGAAGAGGCUACAAGAAACCUGGAGCGGGGCUUUGGACAAGGGCCUGUAAGGACAGGACAAGGGGAAUGGCUUUAACCUGACAGAGGGGAGAUUGAGAUGAGAUCUUAGGCAGAAAUUCUUCCAUGUGAGGGUGGUGAGGCCCUGGCACAGGGUGCCCCGAGAAGCUGUGGCUGCCCCAUCCCUCGCAGUGUUCAAGGCCAGGCUGGAUGGGGCUUGGAGCAACCUGGUCUAGUGGAAGGUGUCCCUGCCUGUGGGAGGAGGUUGGAACUGGAUGAGAUUUGAGGUCCCUUCCAACACAAACUAGACUGUGAUUCUAUGACUCCUUACUUUCGAUCUUUAGUACAAUCAUGAAAGUGUGGCCAAGGACCCUGUGUCAGGGAUCUUAGUUUGUUUUUUCAAUUUUAAUUGCUGUUGAAUGCCUCACAGCUUUCACAACACACCUUUGGGAACAUACGAGAACACACAAAAGUCACUUACUAAAUUGGAGAACUCAGCCUGUCCAGUAAAAACUCAGUAGUUGGAGGAACCAUGUGCUGAAAAAUGGUUUUGGAUAAGACAGCAAAAGCAGAGAGCAGGUUUGUUAACACUGUUACUUUCUAAUUAUAAUAAUCCAGUGAAGCUUGUUGUCGUAUGGUAAAUUUUUAGACACAAGGGGUACUGCUUAAUUAUUUCAGUAAUAUGCACAUGAAUUAAUAACUUUGAAACACCUUUGGCUGAAGUCUUUGACCUAGAUUUUAGAAGUUAAAUACUCAUAAUUCCUCUUUUGCCAUGUAUUUUGCCACCUUUAUCUCCCUCAGUUCUCCAAUUUUUGUUUUUGGGUACGGAUGCCUGCUCCUCAAAGGCAAGUUAUUACUAUAGGCUUUAACAGUACCUGUUUAAAAGCUCAUUUUGAGGUCUGCUAUAUAGCAUCCUAAAGACUAACAUUAAUCAGUAAUAUUCUUUCUCCCUCCCCCCAGCACCCCCGCGAAUGUUCUUUUUAGCAGAAACAGCCCACAUUUCUUUCAUGGUGACAUGAAUGCACAUAGAGAUGUUCACUGAUGUAAAAACUUAAAUUAGAUGCUGUAGUACUGAAGUAAUUAAAAUUACUGUUCCACGUGGUUGAAAGAUGAUUACAAAGACCCCUCAAUCACCUGAGAUGGUUACCUCACAACAUAGCAUCUAUUGUGAAAUACAAGGUGUAGCUCAAUAUGACAGCAGUAAUAUAACACAUUUCACUGUAUCGACUAGGUUAGUUGUGACUGUUAAGCUGUAUUACAAAAGACCCCCUGCAUCACCAAUAAGGACAGAGGAGGAAGGCUGGGUGUGGGACCCCAAUAACAACCUAACAAGUGAAGCCUCCCAGCUGGCUGCUUCCAAGCUGACUUGUUCUAUUCUUUAGCUAAAGCCAACAUUGUAGUACUUUUGAAAUUAUUUUAAUUGCCUUAUUUUCUUCAUAAAAUCAUCUUAUUUUUGAAUUUGCCUUCAAAUUCUAUCCUCAUCACCACAUAACAUUCAAAAUCUAACAGGUUAAACUAGUUUUGAAAGAUUGUGUUUGUGCUAGCAUGCGAAGAGAUUGACAUGAGGACUGCAAAUUAACACUGAAACUCCUGGGAGAAAACAAACACAUUUAAUGUGAUAUCCCUGCAGUCUAGUUAUCUGUUGUCUGGAAGGAAGCGUACCUUCAUCUUUGGAUGAAGAGACGCAAUUUACCUUUUUCAUUUAUUCUUGCUAUUACACAGGCACAUUUCUUUUCCGCUGGUUUUCAUGACAGUAGCUGCCUUUGUUAUCCAUGGACUAAUUUCCACAAACUUCUAUGGUUUAUCAGUUACUAAGGAAUUUUAUCUUUUACAGAAACUAGUCUUCAAGUAUACUAAGGAUUAUUUAAAGCUCUAGUUAUGUGCCAAACAGAAGCUAUGUGGCCUAUUUUUGUUUCAAGUAAACAGCUGUCAUUAGCUACUGUCUUCUGUGGCAAUAAUAAUCUAUGUCACCACAAACUGAAACUGACCACCAAAUAUAAAUUUUCAUCACAUCCAUUUUUUCUGUGUACGAAUUCUGCUGAAAACCUAAUUCUGAUUUGUGUUAAAAUGUGGAUUUUUUUUUUUUCCAAGAAGUACCACUCAUGGUUUUAUACAAACUUGGCAGCAUUUGUCCAUGCUUUAUAAACAUUUAUAAUGCAGUCUCCUGUCCAGAGCACUGUUAGCAACUUUUAAAGACUUUGUACUCCAUUUAGAAUCAAUAAGUGCUUCUCUUGGAAAACACCUAGAAAUUAUGACUGAACACAGGAUUAUAACUUUUUAUUAUGACUAAUUACGAUAAUUUUUUAUGGGUCAACUGUUGUUUUAACAUCACAUAAGUCUUGACAGAUUAUGGAGCAAAACUUCCCAUACAUUUAGAUUUUACAACUAAAUCAACAAAGUUCUACUACCCAAGAUGUUGCAAUAUUUAAACUUACAAUGUAUGUUUUAAAUAUUCAAUCCAAGUAGUGUACAAGGCCACUGUCAAACUCUAAAACUUGGCUAAUUCUUAACAACAGUCACAGACAGUUCUUUACACAUACAUUGAUAUAUCUUCUUUAAGAUAUAUCAUUUACCUAGUAGUGUAUUUCUUACAACAUAAAAAUUAUUCUGGGACCUUCAAAAACUACUUUCAGUGGGAUCAUAGCAGCAGUUUACUCUCUUUUUGGGCUAUGUUCAUGUAAAGCAUAAUUCUGAGCUAGGAAAUCAUUCCUAAAUUUUGGUCAAGGUAAAAAAACCCAGGCAAUUGCUGUUAUCUACAUACAUUUAAUGGACUUAAGCAUGCCUUAAUAGGGCAUUUUGACACGUGAGGAUCUUGUACCUGAUAUGGAGCACAAAUUUAAGGAAUGAUGAAGGAUGUCUUCUCUGUUGAAUUGGCAUGCUUGUGAGCCUUCUCUUAGGAGCUCAAAAGGGUUUCAAGGCUAUCAAUAUUGGAUAAAAUAAAGCAAUGGCAGUAUAACACAAAAUGCUAGUUCCACCAUGCUCUCACUCUCCUAAUGAACACUUCCAAAAUUUUAGCAGCUGGCAGGCUUUCAGACAGAAGAGGUCUCUCUGCCUGUGUUACUACACAGGGCUCAGCACCAGUGCUCCUACAGCCUUCUUGACAGGAUAGAGCAAGAUUACUACUGGUAUUAUGACACAGAUGGCUAAUUUGAAGGAAUUCAGUUACUAUUGGGUAACCUGUGACACCACAGCUUCACCUGGAUAACUGGUGUAAACUUCAGUGCUGUGUAUUUCUUCAGCCACUCUCACUUCAUCCACCCCAGAUCUGCGAUUGCCCAUUGUGAACCCUCGGCUAUCUAGAACAGUGCCUGGACUGCUGUGUGAAUAGCAGCGUGUAUCAGCAGGCUAAAAAGUAAAACCACACUGUGGAGUUUGUUCUGGGCCUCUUCACUGAACAGCUGUUUUGCUUCCCAGGCUAACUUUUGUGUUUCUUUAUAUAGCGAAAUGAGCUAAGACAAAAAGCUCUUGGCUUCAUUUAUGACAGAAGUCUACCUGCUGAUUGAACACUCCCUCAUGAAACACACUGACAUUUUUGGGUUUCUCCAAAAAAAAAGACAAUGAUCCAAGUGACAGCAGGUCUUUCAAGCACCACACUGCUGCACGUGGUCUGCCCACUUGCCAUUGUGCUUCCCCUUGGAGAUAGGUUGUGCCUA